UACGAAGGGGGCUAGCGUUGCUCGGAAUUACUGGGCGUAAAGCGCACGUAGGCGGAUUGCUAAGUCAGGGGUGAAAUCCCGGAGCUCAACUCCGGAACUGCCUUUGAUACUGGCGAUCUUGAGUUCGGGAGAGGUGAGUGGAACCGCGAGUGUAGAGGUGAAAUUCGUAGAUACUCGCAAGAACACCAGUGGCGAAGGCGGCUCACUGGCCCGAAACUGACGCUGAGGUGCGAAAGCGUGGGGAGCAAACAGG
RNAcentral lists this ribosomal RNA (253 nucleotides) under uncultured bacterium. Its description in RNAcentral is "partial 16S ribosomal RNA". It matches the Rfam family "Bacterial small subunit ribosomal RNA", at positions 524 to 776 of the family's 1533-position model. The record is from RNAcentral.